RNAcentral lists this non-coding RNA (30 nucleotides) under Mus musculus (house mouse). Lineage: Eukaryota; Metazoa; Chordata; Mammalia; Rodentia; Muridae. The record is from RNAcentral.
CAGGAGGGUCCGUGUGAGCUGAAGGCCAGA